This 628-nucleotide ribosomal RNA is filed under the name uncultured bacterium. Its description in RNAcentral is "bacterial SSU rRNA". It matches the Rfam family "Bacterial small subunit ribosomal RNA", at positions 92 to 716 of the family's 1533-position model. The record is from RNAcentral.
CGAGUGGCGGACGGGUGAGUAAUGCAUCGGGACCUACCCAGACGUGGGGGAUAACGUAGGGAAACUUACGCUAAUACCGCAUACGUCCUACGGGAGAAAGCGGGGGACCUUCGGGCCUCGCGCGUUUGGACGGACCGAUGUUCGAUUAGCUAGUUGGUAGGGUAAUGGCCUACCAAGGCGACGAUCGAUAGCUGGUCUGAGAGGAUGAUCAGCCACACUGGAACUGAGACACGGUCCAGACUCCUACGGGAGGCAGCAGUGGGGAAUAUUGGACAAUGGGCGCAAGCCUGAUCCAGCAAUGCCGCGUGUGUGAAGAAGGCCUUCGGGUUGUAAAGCACUUUUAUCGGGAGCGAAAUACCAUCGGUUAAUAACCGGUGGGGCUGACGGUACCCGAGGAAUAAGCACCGGCUAACUUCGUGCCAGCAGCCGCGGUAAUACGAAGGGUGCAAGCGUUAAUCGGAAUUACUGGGCGUAAAGGGUGCGUAGGCGGUUGGUUAAGUCUGUUGUGAAAUCCCCGGGCUCAACCUGGGAAUGGCAAUGGAUACUGGCCAGCUAGAGUGUGUCAGAGGAUGGUGGAAUUUCCGGUGUAGCGGUGAAAUGCGUAGAGAUCGGAAGGAACAUCAGUGGC